RNAcentral lists this ribosomal RNA (301 nucleotides) under uncultured bacterium. Its description in RNAcentral is "partial 16S ribosomal RNA". It matches the Rfam family "Bacterial small subunit ribosomal RNA", at positions 509 to 809 of the family's 1533-position model. The record is from RNAcentral.
CAGCCGCCACGGUAAUACGUAGGUGGCGAGCGUUGUCCGGAAUCAUUGGGCGUAAAGGGAGCGCAGGCGGGCAUGUAAGUCUUUCUUAAAAGUGCGGGGCUCAACCCCGUGAUGGGAAAGAAACUACAUGUCUUGAGUACAGGAGAGGAAAGCGGAAUUCCCAGUGUAGCGGUGAAAUGCGUAGAUAUUAGGAAGAACACCAGUGGCGAAGGCGACUUUCUGGACGAAAACUGACGCUGAGGCGCGAAAGCCAGGGGAGCGAACGGGAUUAGAUACCCCUGUAGUCCCUGUCUCUUAUACA